Molecule: ribosomal RNA, 274 nt
Filed under: uncultured bacterium
Lineage: Bacteria
Description: partial 16S ribosomal RNA
Rfam family: Bacterial small subunit ribosomal RNA
Source: RNAcentral
AUACGGGGGGUGCAAGCGUUAUCCGGAAUCAUUGGGUUUAAAGGGUCCGUAGGCGGACUAUUAAGUCAGAGGUGAAAUCCCACAGCUCAACUGUGGAACUGCCUUUGAUACUGGUAGUCUUGAGUUAUAUGGAAGUAGAUAGAAUGUGUAGUGUAGCGGUGAAAUGCAUAGAUAUUACACAGAAUACCGAUUGCGAAGGCAGUCUACUACGUAUAUACUGACGCUAAGGGACGAAAGCGUGGGGAGCGAACAGGAUUAGAAACCCGAGUAGUCC